CCUACGGGGCGCAGCAGUAGGGAAUUUUCGUCAGUGGGCGCAAGCCUGAACGAGCAAUGCCGCGUGAACGAGGAAGGUCUUCGGAUCGUAAAGUUCUGUUGAAGGGGAAAAAGAGCGGAGAGAGGAAAUGGUCUCCGAUUGAUAUUACCCUUCGAGGAAGUCACGGCUAACUACGUGCCAGCAGCCGCGGUAAUACGUAGGUGGCAAGCGUUGUUCGGAAUGACUGGGCGUAAAGGGUGUGUAGGCGGUGUAGCAAGUUAGAAGUGAAAUACCUAGAGCUUAACUCAGGUGCUGCUUCUAAAACU
RNAcentral lists this ribosomal RNA (305 nucleotides) under uncultured bacterium. Its description in RNAcentral is "bacterial SSU rRNA". It matches the Rfam family "Bacterial small subunit ribosomal RNA", at positions 338 to 634 of the family's 1533-position model. The record is from RNAcentral.